This 372-nucleotide ribosomal RNA is filed under the name uncultured organism. RNAcentral describes it as "bacterial SSU rRNA". It matches the Rfam family "Bacterial small subunit ribosomal RNA", at positions 526 to 896 of the family's 1533-position model. The record is from RNAcentral.
CGUAGGAGGCAAGCGUUAUCCGGAUUCACUGGGCGUAAAGCGCGUGCAGGUGGCGCGGUAAGUUGGACGUGAAAUCUCCCGGCUCAACUGGGAGAGGUCGUUCAAUACUACCGUGCUUGAGAGCAGAAGAGGAAGAUGGAAUUCCCGGUGUAGUGGUGAAAUGCGUAGAUAUCGGGAGGAACACCAGUGGCGAAGGCGAUCUUCUGGUCUGUUUCUGACACUCAGACGCGACAGCUAGGGUAGUAAACGGGAUUAGAGACCCCGGUAAUCCUAGCCGUAAACGAUGUGAACUUGGCGUUGGUGGGUUAAACUCCAUCAGUGCCGUAGCAAACGCGAUAAGUUCACCGCCUGGGGACUACGGCCGCAAGGUUA